Molecule: ribosomal RNA, 106 nt
Filed under: Streptococcus agalactiae GB00226
Lineage: Bacteria; Bacillati; Bacillota; Bacilli; Lactobacillales; Streptococcaceae
Description: partial 23S ribosomal RNA
Rfam family: Bacterial large subunit ribosomal RNA
Source: RNAcentral
UAUAUCAGUAAGAGCCCUGAGAGAUGAUCAGGUAGAUAGGUUAGGAGUGUAAUUGUGGUGACACAUUUAGCGGACUAAUACUAAUAGCUCGAGGACUUAUCCAAAA